This 415-nucleotide ribosomal RNA is filed under the name uncultured bacterium. Its description in RNAcentral is "bacterial SSU rRNA". It matches the Rfam family "Bacterial small subunit ribosomal RNA", at positions 355 to 786 of the family's 1533-position model. The record is from RNAcentral.
UCGGGAAUAUUGCGCAAUGGAGGAAACUCUGACGCAGUGACGCCGCGUGCAGGAAGAAGGUUUUCGGAUUGUAAACUGCUUUAGACAGGGAAGAAAAAGACAGUACCUGUAGAAUAAGCUCCGGCUAACUACGUGCCAGCAGCCGCGGUAAUACGUAGGGAGCGAGCGUUAUCCGGAUUUAUUGGGUGUAAAGGGUGCGUAGACGGGAAUACAAGUUAGUUGUGAAAUCCCUCGGCUUAACUGAGGAACUGCAACUAAAACUAUAUUUCUUGAGUGCUGGAGAGGAAAGUGGAAUUCCUAGUGUAGCGGUGAAAUGCGUAGAUAUUAGGAGGAACACCAGUGGCGAAGGCGACUUUCUGGACAGUAACUGACGUUGAGGCACGAAAGUGUGGGGAAGCAAACAGGAUUAGAUACC